UAACACGUGGGUAACCUAGCCUUAUAGUGGGGGAUAGCCUUUCGAAAGGAAGAUUAAUACCGCAUAAGAUUGUAGUAUCGCAUGAUAUAGCAAUUAAAGGAGCAAUUCGCUAUAAGAUGGACCCGCGUCGCAUUAGCUAGUUGGUGAGGUAAUGGCUCACCAAGGCGACGAUGCGUAGCCGACCUGAGAGGGUGAUCGGCCACAUUGGGACUGAGACACGGCCCAGACUCCUACGGGAGGCAGCAUG
RNAcentral lists this ribosomal RNA (247 nucleotides) under uncultured bacterium. RNAcentral describes it as "partial 16S ribosomal RNA". It matches the Rfam family "Bacterial small subunit ribosomal RNA", at positions 111 to 353 of the family's 1533-position model. The record is from RNAcentral.